Molecule: small RNA, 132 nt
Filed under: Kluyvera intermedia
Lineage: Bacteria; Pseudomonadati; Pseudomonadota; Gammaproteobacteria; Enterobacterales; Enterobacteriaceae
Description: RtT sRNA
Rfam family: RtT RNA
About the family: This family represents a bacterial cis-regulatory element known as RtT RNA. The exact function of RtT is unknown although it is thought that it may be involved in changing the cellular response in relation to amino acid starvation.
Source: RNAcentral
AUUCUGCCCAUGCGGGGAAGGAUGAGAAGCUUCGACCAAGGUUCGAUUCGAGCGCUAGCGAGAAAGCGUUGCCGCAGGCAACGACCCGAAGGGCGAGGAGCAUCGCGACGAGUCAUCCUUCCCCCACCACCA